UAUAUUUCAACAGCCGCGGUACUCUGACCGUGCAAAGGUAGCAUAAUCAUUUGCCUUAUAAUUGAAGGCUAGUAUGAAUGGUUUGACGAGAAUUGAGCUGUCUCUUUUUGAUUAAAUAUAAUUUUAUUUAUAGGUGAAGAAGCCUAUUUCCUAUUGAAAGACAAGAAGACCCUAUCGAGCUUUAAAAAAUUUAGUAGACUUUAAACUUUAUUUAUAAAAAACAAAGCUAUUAAAAACUUUGGUUGGGGCGACUGAGGAACAAAAAAAGCUUCCUUUAUUAAAUAAAUUACUAACAAGUAUUGAUCCAAUAUAUUUGAUUAAAGGAAUUAGUUACCGUAGGGAUAACAGCAUAAUCCUCUUUGAGAGUUCUUAUCGAAAAGGGGGUUUGUGACCUCGAUGUUGGACCAGAAUAUCCUGAAGAUGCAGCCGUCUUCAAUGGUUGGUCUGUUCGACCAUUAAAAUUCUACGUGAUCUGAGUUCAGACCGGCGUGAGCCAGGUCAGUUUCUAUCUUCAAUUUUUAAAAUGACCUUAGUACGAAAGGACCAGGUUAUUACAAAAAUGAUUUGUAACACUUAGAUUAAAUAUAAAAAAUAAUUAAGCUUAUAAAUAUCAAAUUAGCAAAGAUUAAUGCAAUUGACUUAGGAUCAAUAGACAUAGGUGAAACCCCUUUAUUUGAUAAAUAAAGAUGGCAGAAGAA
RNAcentral lists this ribosomal RNA (698 nucleotides) under Semiricinula muricoides. RNAcentral's name for it is "partial 16S ribosomal RNA". The stretch from base 1 to 536 matches the Rfam family "Bacterial large subunit ribosomal RNA", at positions 1918 to 2925 of the family's 2925-position model. The record is from RNAcentral. Lineage: Eukaryota; Metazoa; Mollusca; Gastropoda; Neogastropoda; Muricidae.